CAGCAGCCGCGGGAAUACAGAGGGUGCGAGCGUUAAUCGGAUUUACUGGGCGUAAAGCGUGCGUAGGCGGCUUUUUAAGUCGGAUGUGAAAUCCCUGAGCUUAACUUAGGAAUUGCAUUCGAUACUGGGAAGCUAGAGUAUGGGAGAGGAUGGUAGAAUUCCAGGUGUAGCGGUGAAAUGCGUAGAGAUCUGGAGGAAUACCGAUGGCGAAGGCAGCCAUCUGGCCUAAUACUGACGCUGAGGUACGAAAGCAUGGGGAGCAAACAGGAUUAGAUACCCCGGUAGUCCCCUGUCUCUUAUA
Molecule: ribosomal RNA, 301 nt
Filed under: uncultured bacterium
Lineage: Bacteria
Description: partial 16S ribosomal RNA
Rfam family: Bacterial small subunit ribosomal RNA
Source: RNAcentral